Molecule: long non-coding RNA, 529 nt
Organism: Sapajus apella (tufted capuchin)
Lineage: Eukaryota; Metazoa; Chordata; Mammalia; Primates; Cebidae
Exons: 3
Source: RefSeq, a predicted model, not a curated record
UAUGAGUGAGAACAUGCGGUAUUGGCAUUUGGUUUUCUGUUUUUGUGUUAAUUUGCUUAGGAUAAUAGCCUCCAGCUACAUUCCUGUUUCUGCAAAGGACUUGCUAAGUAUAUUCAGUAAUUUAUCUUACACAGUACAUCUAAGUCCAAUCAUUUCUCCUUAAUAUGCUUAUUGCCUCCAACCCACUUUCUUACCUACCAAGCUUUGAGAAAUCACCUAUCCUCUCAGGAAGUUCUACCUUCCUUCCUCUUGGCCCAUGAAACUUGAGGGUGACUACACUGAAACUAUACCUUACAUCUGGUUCUUACCUCAGGUCCAUGGCUACUAAGAUUGCCCACAUAUUCCCCUUAAAUAAGAUAUCUUGAUGAAUUAGUAAUUAAUGAUUUCAUUCUUUUUAAUGGCUAUAUGGUAUUCCAUGGUGUAUACAUGGAUGAUGUCUUUAGCCAUUUCACUAUUGAUGGACAUCAAAGUUGAUUCCACAUCUUUGCUAUUGUGAAUAGUAUUGCAAUGAACAUACAUGUGCAUGUGU